RNAcentral lists this small nucleolar RNA (81 nucleotides) under Carlito syrichta (Philippine tarsier). Its description in RNAcentral is "Small nucleolar RNA SNORD115 (ENSTSYG00000026268.1)". It matches the Rfam family "Small nucleolar RNA SNORD115". Rfam says of the family: HBII-52 is a member of the C/D class of snoRNAs, which contain the C (UGAUGA) and D (CUGA) box motifs. HBII-52 is encoded in a tandemly repeated array with another C/D snoRNA, HBII-85, in the Prader-Willi syndrome (PWS) region of chromosome 15. The record is from Rfam by way of RNAcentral. Lineage: Eukaryota; Metazoa; Chordata; Mammalia; Primates; Tarsiidae.
GGGAUGAUGGUGGGAACUUUAUAUUGUCUUAAAGAGUGGUGAUGACUUAAAAAGCAUCUCAGUAGGAUUAUGCUGAGGCCC